GAUUUCUGGUGUGGCAUCAUCAAGAUUCACACAAUGUAUGGCAUGCAUGCGAUGCUCUCAUCCUUCCCCAUCCAUGCAUGCAUGUGAACUGUAGUUCCGUUCAUGCAUGGAGAUGGAUGGAUUGAUGAGCUUGCUUGCUCGCUAGCCAGCGUACUAUGUGUGGGAAUCUUGAUGAUGCUGCAUCGGUGAUCAA
RNAcentral lists this microRNA precursor (193 nucleotides) under Aegilops tauschii. RNAcentral describes it as "miR172c stem-loop (ata-MIR172c)". Its record names the gene ata-MIR172c. Lineage: Eukaryota; Viridiplantae; Streptophyta; Magnoliopsida; Poales; Poaceae. The record is from miRBase by way of RNAcentral.